Molecule: long non-coding RNA, 963 nt
Filed under: Homo sapiens (human)
Lineage: Eukaryota; Metazoa; Chordata; Mammalia; Primates; Hominidae
Description: HSALNT0307868
Source: RNAcentral
AGGUUCCUUUGUUUCUAAAGCAUUAACAGGAACUGGGGACUGAAAGUGUCUCCCAGGUGUCUCCUCAGCAUUGAACAAUCUCUGAAGUCACUGCCUCCCAGCACUGCUCAGGUUUGCCACAUGGGUAUAUUACCUAAGGCUGCAGUUUAGGCUUCUAAUAUACCCGUCACCCAAGUUGUGAACAUAGUACCCGAUUCUGCUUGAUGUGGAAAAGUGUCCAGGUAAAGAUAGCAAAUUUCUUAUUUCUCUCUUGUUUCUGAGGAUUGUCUUAUUUCUGAUACCAAAGGAAAAACAACGAGGAUUUCUGGGUAAAUUUUUGCUUUUCUGUUAUAGAUACUCUAUAUUGUUUGCUUCUUUUUACUGCUGAAAUCUGGUCAUGAGUUGGAGGUGAAGAGGUACCAUUAAGAUUCUAAUAAUGAAAGUUGCAUGUAAAAAAAUGGUUGGUUAUAAGUUUCUGAUCUUCAAUGACAACCUAAGAUAGCUACAGCAGUCCUGGCCUGACUAGUGUUAGGACUGGUCAGAAAUUCCUUUUGAAAUUUUUAAAUACUUUUAUUGUGCUAUAAUUCAUGUAUCAAUUCUCCCAUUUAAAGUAUGAAGUUCAAUGGUUUUUAGUGUGUUCACAGAUAACAUGCAACCAUAACCAAAGUCAGUUUUAGAAUUUUUUCAUGAGCUCAAAAGGAAAACCUGUGCCCUUUGCCUAUUACUCUCUAUACCCUGCUAUCCCUAAGACACCACUAAUGUAUUUUUGUCUCUGUAGAUUUUCCUACUCUGGACUUUUAUGAAUGAAACCAUUUGAUACAUGGUGUUUUGUGAUAGACUUCUUUGAUUUAGCAAAAUGUUUCCAGGUUGAUCGAUGUGGUAUCAUGUACCAGUACUUCAUUUUCUUAUGGCUGAAAAAAUAUCCCAUUGUAUUGAUAUGCCAUAGUUUGUUUAUCCGUUUAUCAGUUGAUGGGCAUUUGCACU